CUUAGUGGCGGACGGGUGAGUAACGCGUGGGGAUUUGCCCUAGAGUGGGGAACAACAUUUGGAAACGAAUGCUAAUACCGCAUACGCCCUUUUGGGGAAAGGCUUCGGCCGCUCUUGGAUGAUCCCGCGUCUGAUUAGCUUGUUGGUAGGGUAAUGGCCUACCAAGGCGACGAUCAGUAGCUGGUCUGAGAGGAUGAUCAGCCACAUUGGGACUGAGACACGGCCCAAACUCCUACGGGAGGCAGCAGUGGGGAAUAUUGGACAAUGGGGGAAACCCUGAUCCAGCAAUGCCGCGUGAGUGAUGAAGGCCUUAGGGUUGUAAAGCUCUUUUACCCGGGAUGAUAAUGACAGUACCGGGAGAAUAAGCUCCGGCUAACUCCGUGCCAGCAGCCGCGGUAAUACGGAGGAUCCAAGCGUUAUCCGGAAUCAUUGGGUUUAAAGGGUCCGUAGGCGGGCAAUUAAGUCAGUGGUGAAAGUCUGUAGCUCAACUAUAGAAUUGCCUUUGAUACUGAUUGUCUUGAGUUAUAGUGAAGUUGCCGGAAUAUGUAGUGUAGCGGUGAAAUGCAUAGAUAUUACUUAGAAUACC
RNAcentral lists this ribosomal RNA (586 nucleotides) under Oxyrrhis marina. Its description in RNAcentral is "partial Bacterial small subunit ribosomal RNA". It matches the Rfam family "Bacterial small subunit ribosomal RNA", at positions 91 to 710 of the family's 1533-position model. Lineage: Eukaryota; Dinophyceae; Oxyrrhinales; Oxyrrhinaceae. The record is from RNAcentral.